This 470-nucleotide ribosomal RNA is filed under the name uncultured bacterium. Its description in RNAcentral is "bacterial SSU rRNA". It matches the Rfam family "Bacterial small subunit ribosomal RNA", at positions 28 to 500 of the family's 1533-position model. The record is from RNAcentral.
GAUGAACGCUGGCGGCGUGCUUAACACAUGCAAGUCGAGCGAAGCGGCUGAAUUGAUUCUUCGGAUGAUUUUCAGUUGACUGAGCGGCGGACGGGUGAGUAACGCGUGGGUGACCUGCCCCAUACCGGGGGAUAACAGCUGGAAACGGCUGCUAAUACCGCAUAAGCGCACAGAGCUGCAUGGCUCGGUGUGAAAAACUCCGGUGGUAUGGGAUGGGCCCGCGUCUGAUUAGGCAGUUGGCGGGGUAACGGCCCACCAAACCGACGAUCAGUAGCCGGCCUGAGAGGGCGACCGGCCACAUUGGGACUGAGACACGGCCCAAACUCCUACGGGAGGCAGCAGUGGGGGAUAUUGCACAAUGGGGGAAACCCUGAUGCAGCGACGCCGCGUGAGCGAAGAAGUAUUUCGGUAUGUAAAGCUCUAUCAGCAGGGAAGAUAAUGACGGUACCUGACUAAGAAGCCCCGGCUAA